Molecule: non-coding RNA, 142 nt
Organism: Stachybotrys elegans
Lineage: Eukaryota; Fungi; Ascomycota; Sordariomycetes; Hypocreales; Stachybotryaceae
Source: the annotation of a GenBank genome assembly
GGGGGGCUGGCGCAACGGUAGCGCGUUAGGUAGGCGAGAUCCAGACUUGCAAUCAUCGUGUCCCACAUUGUUCCUAACAUCAGCCCUAGAUUCCAGCGAUGGAGUGUCCUAAAGGUUGCUGGUUCAAAUCCGGCGUCCCUCA